CCUGCCAGCAUCACAUGACCUUCAAACAGGAUCUGUGGAGCCCCAAACAAGCAGCGCCGCAUUUCUCUUCCUGUAAAUCCAGCUCCUUCUUCUUCUUCUUCCUUUUUCCCUCCUCUUUUUUUUGUAUUUUUUUUUCUUCUAAAAAUGUGCAGUGAAAAAAGGAAACCCCUAAUCUCUGUUUAAUAUGGUUUGGCCGGAUGUAAAUACCUCGGGACAAUGAAGCUAAUCUGGGCCGGGCUGACAACCUCACACCGUCGCCAGAGAGAGAGAGAGGGAUGGGGGAGACGGAGGGGGAGGCGAGGGGAUGGUUUGAUGGAGAUCAAGGAGGAGAAGGGAGGGAGGGAGGCUUUUCCCUUUAGCUUGUUGCUUCUAUUCUCCGCCGUCCCGAUCAAAAGAGCCCCUUGAAAAAAAGCAUCAAGUUAAAGAUGGACGCCGCCUCCAAACAUCCCGCCUCCCGCCUUUGCCUCACCCCCCGCUCGGCUAACGAGCAUCGGAAGCUACUGUACGUCUUGGCGGCGUCCAAUCGCCUCCUUUCAUCGCCCUCCUCAUCAUCAUCAUCCCCCCGCCGGCCUCAGAAUAGGGCCUCGGUUUGGUAAUUGUCAUUCCAAAGACGAACUGGCCUAGUUUCAAUUCAGCAGACGGGUGGAAGAAGCUGGAAACACCCCACAUUAAAAAAAAACAAAAAAAAAAGCCAGGGUGGAGCGUGUGCGAGGCCGCCGGACAACACGAUCACGCCGAGGAGGAACCAGUCUGAUCACAAGGUGGCUUUAGGAGCUCUCUUGAUGUUCUCUCAGAGGUGAAGAUCGCGGGAGGAGAUCGAUCCUUCAGGAAAGUUCGACUUUGGAGGAAACGACGGGAGUCAGAAGAUGCUGAAAUUCGAGUGAGAGCUGGAAAACACAACUUUUUGCUGCUUUUCCUGGACUUUUUUUGUGUCUUAUAAAGAAUUCACAUCUUGAUUGUGCAGCAGCAGGACCUGAAUCCGCUGCGAGCCCAGAGAGAGGAGCCUCUGUUUGGGGGGAAGAACAACUGCAGCACAGUUGUCCCGACACAUCCACAGCAGACAUCUAUAGCAGCACAUCCUGGACACAGAGAGGCCUGAAGAAGCAGCUUUAACCCCGUGAACCCCUAAAACCUGCCACUGGGAAUGAAAAGCACGCCUUCUUUAAAAAAAAAACAACACAGAUAUUAAACCGUUUAUCAGAGCCAGAAACCGUAAAAACAGAAAGAAAGACCAAACCGAAAUGACCGACCUCACCUCAAACUAUGAUUUCAUCAAAUCCCUUUAUGCGACGUCUCAUUUAAAAAUUGCCAAGAAUUAACUAUUUGCUUUAACCAAAUUCUGCUAAAAACUAAAAAUCUGCACUUCUCGAUACAACCAGGAAGCUAUGGACAACUUAGUUGUGACCAACUGUGGCUUUACAAAAAUUCUGGGACUUUUCAGCUGAACUGCAGGCAGUGUCUACCCAGAGCGGGGCAAAUAAGAGACAAACAUGAAACAAGCUAAAUAAUAAAGUGUAAAAUAUCUACAGUGUGCAGAGAAACUUAUUUUCCCGUCUUGGUAACAUCUGUUGGCACUUGAAAAACUUAUUGUACAUGUCGAUUUCAGGUUUUAUUCAAUUGAUGUAAAAUAAAUAAUCAAAGAAAUUCAACUUUCAUUUCUUAUUUUUUUUUAUUUACGUCCUUUUAACUGUGUCAAACUUCACAAAAGACACAUUUAAGCUCUUUCUACUCCUAACCAUGGUUGUUCUGUUUCCAUAGAGGUGCAGGACUUUAAAUUGCAGAGAAAAAUGAACCCACAGCGAGUAAAAAUGUGAAAGAAAAUGCCCAGAAACUGAUAUGACGAUACAGGAAUAGUGCUAAAUAAACUUAUUUUAAAAUUCACUGUAAUCAACUUGAGACUGCUAGCAUUGCUAAUUGGCUAGCCGAGCCUUGCAGGUACCCGUAUCUAUAGUAACCCCUUCAGUAACCACGGCUACGGCGCAUGUACGCCUUCCACUACGGUCCUGCCUUUCCAUUCAUUAAAGAGUCAAUGGGAGUUUCCUGAAGCAGCUCAGUGCCGCAGUAAAGCACUUCACACACACGAAAAUGUACAACUGCUUCCUUAUUCAGCCCGAGUCGGCGUGACACCGAGCAAAGAGCAGCACUCGACUCCCAGCUAUUGCGGUGAAAAGGGCUCAAUGGUCGAUUAUUCCAGGCUGCAGACGAACAUGAGAAGCAGAAUACGGCUCUGUGAAAUUAUAAUCUCAUAUUGUAAAGGGUAAAAUAAAGCAGGAAAUCUUUACUUUUUACGGAUUUACUCACUGAAAAACUGAUAUGAUUAACCUUAUGUGAAACCAGCUGAUUAAUUUUCUGUCGCUAAUGAAUUAAAUACGCAUUUAAUCAUUCUGGACUUUCACUUGAACCUCCAAAUUCGACAUUUUUCCGUCACUGUGGGCACAUUUUGCACUCCAAUAUAAAGUCCUGCCCCUCUAUGGAAACAGAACAACCAUGAUCAGAAGUGGAGAAAACUAAAACAUGUCUCCUGGCUCUACAUCCCGCAAAUAUUUGACUAUUUACAUGCUUUAAUUUGCUUCCAUACCAGUCUCAUGUCUGUUCUGUAGUUCAUCCAAACGACACUUGGUCACAUCUGAGGUUUUAUUAGCUUCACGGUUGCACCAAAGAAUGCAGAUUUGUUUUAGUUUUUGACAGAGAAACCAGUUUAUUUUUGGCAAAUUGCUGCCAAUGGAAGAGCACAUCACAUGCGAGUAGUUCACGGGCAGUCAGAAAGAUGAAAAUCCUGAAAUUAUUUCAGCUGUUGCAGUUGCUGAGUCUUACAUUUUCAACUUGUUUCUUUACUUGCCUCCUAUGUGUUUGGCAUAAACACAGCCUGCAGUUCAACCGAGUUCAUCCAAAGCCUCACAUGCAGAUUUUUUUUUUAAGCUUUUGACAGAGAAACCAGAGUAUAUGUGGCAAAUUCUUCAACGAAACAUGCAAAACAAACAGAUUUUGAUUUAAAAAUUUGGGCUUUAGGCACCGAUUUUGCUUAAUUUUCCCAACGGAACUGCAGGUCACACAUGAGUAGUUCAAGGACUGUCUGAAAGAUGAAAAUCCCUGAAAUAUUUCAGUUUUCACAGUUUUUUGCUUUUAUGAAAGGUGGAAUUUUGGUGAUUUUUAAAUAAAAGUGAAUUCUGCGGUUCACAGAAUUACCGGCAGUCAGUGGGCAGACUUUGGCCUUUUUGGAAAGUGUUUAUUUCAUGCAAAGUUUUCUUAAAGAACCAUAAAAGUGCAUAGCUUUGGACAAACCAGUAGCGCAGUUGCUAAGCACAGGAUUAAUAUAUUUAUUUAGUAUUUAGAUUUGUUCUGUGUUGUUUCCUUGUCGGUUGUGACGGAGCUCUUUGUUGUGGAAAACUGGUGUCAAAAACUAAAACUAUUGGUCGUAACUGAAGUUGACAUUCAUUCAUUUGUUGUUUAUUUUGCAGGGAAAAUGCACCAAACACGUCUCACACCAGAUGAAGCCAGAAGCUGUCUUUGAUCCGCAGGAACAUUCAGAAAGCAGAAGCAUGAAGCCGGCUGCUCCAGAGCUAAAAUAACCUCCUUUGAUUGUGCCUUUGUGGCGACGCGCAGCAGAUAAACCGGCAACGUUGUCACACGAGGAAAAAAUGCAGCCAAUUACCAGAGACACCACAGUCAAAAAAUAACAUUUCAUGGGAGUUUUGAAAAACAUUCUGACGUCGGUUGUCUUAAAAAAAUGACCAAAAGCGGAGUGGAGUCUACUGUCAGCCAGAAGUCUCUUUCUCUUCUUUCCAGGCAGAAUAAGGCUUCCAUUACGCUCCGCAGACGGCACAAGGGUUUAUUAUUUUAGCUCUCCUGGCAAAAUAACACGAGGGGGGAGCUGGGGGGGUGAGGAGGGGUGAGGAAGGAGGGAAGAAGGAGGGAGUUUGGUUUCAAUAUUAGAUGUGUCAGCUGCCCGGCUCGAUGAUGUGGACGAGAUUCAAACAGAAGCUCAUGUGAGGGCGACGACACACAUCGUUACUGAGGAAAGAAAGAAAGAAAGAAAGAAAGAAAGAAAGAAGGAAAGAAAAAGAAAGAAAGAAAGAAGGAAAGAAAGAAGGAAAGAAAGAAGGAAAAAAGAAGGAAAGAAAGAAAGAAAAAAGAAAGAAAGAAGGAAGAAAGAAAGAAAGAAAGAAAGAAAAAGAAAAAGAAAGAAAGAAGGAAGGAAAGAAGGAAAGAAAGAAGGAAAGAAAGAAGGAAAGAAAGAAGGAAAGAAGGAAAGAAAGAAAGAAAAAGAAGGAAAGAAAGAAGGAAAGAAAGAAGGAAAGAAAGAAGGAAAGAAGGAAAGAAAGAAGAAAGAAAGAAGGAAAGAAAGAAAGAAGGAAAGAAAGAAAGAAAAAAGAAAGAAAGAAGGAAAGAAAGAAAGAAAAAAGAAAGAAGGAAAGAAAGGAAGGAAAGAAGAAAGAAAGAAAGAAGGAAAGAAGGAAGGAAAGAAAGAAAGAAGGAAAGAAAGAAGGAAAGAAGGAAAGAAGGAAGGAAAGAAGGAAGGAAAAUAGAUGGGACACGGAAAGAAAGAAAGAAAGAAAGAAAGAAAGAAAGAAAACAGGAAAGAGGAAAGAGAGAAAAAAUAGACAAGAAAGAAUGAAGGAAAGAAUAGAAAGAAAGAAAAGAAAGAGAGAAAGAAAGAAAGAAAAUGAAACAAAGACAGAAACAAACACAAACAAGAGAAACAAACAAAAAGAAAAAGUAUUAUAGUAAAACGGUGAUGUAGAUAUAUAUUGGUGAAUAUUGGAGCACAGUGUAAAUACUUCAUUUUGUACCAGUUUGGUCUCAUUCUGUUCUCCACUCUAAUAAUGACCUGAUCCAACCUUUGUCUGAUAUAAAUCUGAUUUACUAAAGUCUGGACUGAUCUAAAUCUGAUGGGACGAGGAUGAAGAUGAUGAAGAUGAGGAGGAGACGGAGUGAACAGAUGUGUGGAAAGGUGUUUGGAGGAAGAGGAGUGAGAAAGGGAAGGAGGGAUGAAGAGAAGAAGACGACGACAGAGGGAGGAAGGAGAUGAAAGACGCACUUCUACACACACUUCUACACACACAGUCUGCUGCUCUGCCUUCAUUCACAGAAAUGGAAAUGUGCUGCAGCAGAACCACACCACUGCUUCUGUUUGGUGGACAUUCAGAAUAAGAGACAGACAACACUAUAUACAGUCUGCACACAAUGAUAUUUGUGUGUUUCUGUCUUUUAUUAUGCGUCUUCCCUGCUCGUCUAAACCCUUACGGUGCCACUAAUCGAGCCUCUGAAGGUGCUUUUUAUUCUCCGGCUGGAUCGUCCUGAUGGAUGGCGGCUGAAGAACGCGGCCAGGACACUCUGAGCACGUUUAAACGUGUUUUCUCGCCGGAGAGAGUCUGAGCCGGGAGCCAGCGCCGUUGGAAGAGUGUGUUUUGUUGCUGGCAGAAGCAAACAGAUGGCAGGUUGUGUGUGGAGCUGAAAGGAGUCCAACACACACAAAUACAGCGGGACCAGCAGAGACGAUCCAGAGCCGCUCUGUCCUCCUCAGAAACACUAACACAGCACCCUCUCUGCUCUGUUAUUUCACCUCCAUUACCAACUUAAACUCUGUUUACUCGCC
Long non-coding RNA from Acanthochromis polyacanthus (spiny chromis), 5596 nucleotides. RefSeq lists it as uncharacterized. The transcript has 2 exons. NCBI's taxonomy places the organism in Eukaryota, Metazoa, Chordata, Actinopteri, Pomacentridae. The record is from RefSeq and is a predicted model, not a curated record.